RNAcentral lists this non-coding RNA (29 nucleotides) under Mus musculus (house mouse). The record is from RNAcentral. Lineage: Eukaryota; Metazoa; Chordata; Mammalia; Rodentia; Muridae.
AACAUGAUGUGCCAAUAGGCCUAAGCCUG